UACGGAGGGGGCGAGCGUUAUUCGGAAUUAUUGGGCGUAAAGGGCGCGUAGGCGGCUAGAUGUGUCAAAGGUGAAAUCCCUCGGCUCAACUGAGGAACUGCCUUUGAAACUGUCUGGCUUGAGGCCGGGAGAGGGUAGCGGAAUUCCCAGUGUAGCGGUGAAAUGCGUAGAUAUUGGGAGGAACACCAGUGGCGAAGGCGGCUACCUGGACCGGUUCUGACGCUGAGGUGCGAAAGCGUGGGGAGCAAACAGG
Molecule: ribosomal RNA, 253 nt
Filed under: uncultured bacterium
Lineage: Bacteria
Description: partial 16S ribosomal RNA
Rfam family: Bacterial small subunit ribosomal RNA
Source: RNAcentral